CAUAAACACACCAGCAUCGGUUGUCAAGCAAUGCUAGGGGGACAAACACAGACACACAAACACACACACACACAUAUAUAUAUACAUAUAUACGACGGGCUUCUUUCAGUUUCCGUCUACCAAAUCCACUCACAAGGCUUUGGUCGGCCCGAGACUAUAGUAGAAGACACUUGCCCAAGAUGUCACGCAGUGGGACUUAACCCAGAACCAUGUGGUUGGUAAGCAAGCUACUUACCACACAUCCACUCCUGCGCCUAUAUAUAUAUAUAUAUAUAAUAUAUACAAUAGCUAUUGUUAUUGUUAUUGUUUGUUUUUUUCAAUUUCAGAUCUGGGGUUCAAAAUAUGGUAAUACUAAGGACGGAGUUAUUUCUUCCUCUGUUAUUGAAUGGGGCCCACUGAACGUUGCAUCUCGGAUCACGUUGAGAGACGAAAACGACAGGGAAAGAGCCUUGCUCCACGUCAAAUACUCUGGCUAAGACUCUUGUUUUGAUAGAGGAAGUCCUGGCCAAGAAGACCUUUUGUCUCUAUCUCAACUUCCAGAAGAUUAAUUAUUUUAUUGCAAAGAGUUUCUUAUAUAAUAUCUUCAGUUGAGGGAUAAUAUAAUUCUUUACUUUGUUGUUUUCUUUAUUUCUCCUUUUUUUAUUACAAUUUUACACCAUUCUCUAAAGAAUGACAUAAUUUAGAAAAGAAAAAUGCUCUAUUCAGUCCUCAACACAGCAUAUUUUAUGGCUAAGCUACAUUAAUAUUAAAUACUCUCAACUGCUUUCGCUUGUUAUUUCAUAUAUUCCCAAAAUACAAAUGGUUGUUGGGCUAGGGAUCUAGACAAUUUCGUAGAUAACGCAACUAAUUUUCGGUCGGUGUGGGUCCUAGGUGCCUACAUUGUGACUGAUUCAACAUAUUUCCAUCCGUAUAUUUAAAAACACUUAUCGUUUGAUAAAACUUGUAUUGAAGGUAAGACAGAAAAUCAAAUUUUGGAAAAGGUUCUUUAUAUUACAUACAAAAGGAAAAAAAAUCAAAAUGCAUCUGAAACAUUAUUGGGAAGAUGGGAUUAGGUUUUCCAGAAGAUUAGUGUGCCUUAUCUUUCUUAACCUUAGAGCGGCAGAUUGACAAUGGCAGCGGGAUGGCAGAAUUAGUAGGGCGUCGGACAAAAUGCUUUACAGUUUUUAAUUACGUCCCUUUAUAUUCUGAGUUCAAAUUCCACCCAGGUCAACUUUGUCUUUCAUCUUUCUGUGGUCUUUUUCAAAUAAAGUACCAGUCAAGUACUGGCGUCGAUUUCAUCGACUGUUCCUCCCGUCUCAAAUUUGUAGCCCUGUGCCUUACAUAGAAACUAACAUCUCUUUUCUCUUCAAACAAUACGUGUUGUAUUGUUUUUUUACUUUUCUAGGUUCUUCUAGCUGAAUUGUAAGGAACAAAAAUAAAAUGGCAAUAAAACUGUUUUCAGUAUAUAUAUAAAUAUC
Molecule: long non-coding RNA, 1457 nt
Organism: Octopus bimaculoides (California two-spot octopus)
Lineage: Eukaryota; Metazoa; Mollusca; Cephalopoda; Octopoda; Octopodidae
Source: RefSeq, a predicted model, not a curated record